UGAACGGGUAAUGUCCCAUGGCCUUGGAUUA
This 31-nucleotide non-coding RNA is filed under the name Rattus norvegicus (Norway rat). The record is from RNAcentral. Lineage: Eukaryota; Metazoa; Chordata; Mammalia; Rodentia; Muridae.